GCGGGCGUGGCGGAACCGGUAGACGCAAGGGACUUAAAAUCCCUCGGGCUUGCCCGUGCGGGUUCGAUCCCCGCCGCCCGCACCA
Molecule: transfer RNA, 85 nt
Filed under: Kumtagia ephedrae
Lineage: Bacteria; Pseudomonadati; Pseudomonadota; Alphaproteobacteria; Hyphomicrobiales; Phyllobacteriaceae
Also listed under: 1 other name
Description: Mesorhizobium ephedrae tRNA-Leu
Rfam family: tRNA
About the family: Transfer RNA (tRNA) molecules are approximately 80 nucleotides in length.
Source: RNAcentral